RNAcentral lists this ribosomal RNA (442 nucleotides) under Panthera onca (jaguar). Its description in RNAcentral is "partial 16S ribosomal RNA". Lineage: Eukaryota; Metazoa; Chordata; Mammalia; Carnivora; Felidae. The record is from RNAcentral.
AGAAUAGGAUUGCGCUGUUAUCCCUAGGGUAACUUGUUCCGUUGAUCAAGUUUUUGGAUCAAUAAGUGAUGUAAUACUUUCGACUGGUUAGUCUAGAUUUAAAUCACUCGGAGGUUGUUUUAUUCUCCGAGGUCACCCCAACCUAAAUUGUCGGCCCAUGUAGAGAUUUGUUGUUCCUGUCGGUUAAUUAGUGGGGUCUCUUUGGGUCGGUUAAUUARASCUCCAUAGGGUCUUCUCGUCUUAUUGUUAUAUUCCCGCCUCUUCACGGGAAGGUCAAUUUCACGGAUUGGAAGUAAGAGACAGUAAAGCCCUCGUGUGGCCAUUCAUACAAGUCCCUAUUUAGGGAACAAAUGAUUAUGCUACCUUUGCACGGUCAGGAUACCGCGGCCGUUUAACUAGUGUCACUGGGCAGGCAGUGCCUCUAAUACUGGAAAUGCUAGAG